GCAUUAAUGGGGUAGUGGUAACCUGGGUCGUUGCCAUGAGAUGAAACCAUUGCUGAAAGAUGAUCUCGACCCGCCGGGGGUUCGAUUCCCUCUUAAUGCA
This 100-nucleotide transfer RNA is filed under the name Lentinula edodes (shiitake mushroom). RNAcentral's name for it is "tRNA-Gly". It matches the Rfam family "tRNA". Rfam says of the family: Transfer RNA (tRNA) molecules are approximately 80 nucleotides in length. Their secondary structure includes four short double-helical elements and three loops (D, anti-codon, and T loops). Lineage: Eukaryota; Fungi; Basidiomycota; Agaricomycetes; Agaricales; Omphalotaceae. The record is from RNAcentral.